Long non-coding RNA from Mauremys mutica (yellowpond turtle), 371 nucleotides. RefSeq lists it as uncharacterized. The transcript has 3 exons. The record is from RefSeq and is a predicted model, not a curated record. Lineage: Eukaryota; Metazoa; Chordata; Testudines; Geoemydidae.
AGGGUAGCCCUCUUAUAGAAUUUUCUUCCCAGCAUGCCUUUCUAGCUCUUUAAAUCUGGCAAUACCAAGCAGCUCCAGCCCUAAAGUUGCCAUUUGUGAGUGUUUUAUCUCUCUUUUUACUGCUCUUGAGAAAACCUGGAUUAUCUUGACAGCUCCUGGUUGAACAUUCCUUGCCACAAUGGGCCAGACUGCCUGGUAGUGUAAAUCAGUGUAGCUCCACUGAUUUCAGUGUAGCUGUACUUACUUGGUGAAGUAGGAGAGGCGGCACCUCCUUCUGUCGAUGUGGUUGGAGGUUUUGUGUCUGGCACGGGCAGAGGCACAGGCCUAGCCAUUGGUGGCGGCGGCGGUGGUGGCAACAUUGGGGUAGGAAG